UACGAAGGGGGCUAGCGUUGCUCGGAAUUACUGGGCGCAAAGCGCACGUAGGCGGAUUGUUAAGUCGGGGGUGAAAUCCUGGAGCUCAACUCCAGAACUGCCUUCGAUACUGGCGAUCUCGAGUUCGGGAGAGGUGAGUGGAACUGCGAGUGUAGAGGUGAAAUUCGUAGAUAUUCGCAAGAACACCAGUGGCGAAGGCGGCUCACUGGCCCGAUACCGACGCUGAGGUGCGAAAGCGUGGGGAGCAAACAGG
This 253-nucleotide ribosomal RNA is filed under the name uncultured bacterium. Its description in RNAcentral is "partial 16S ribosomal RNA". It matches the Rfam family "Bacterial small subunit ribosomal RNA", at positions 524 to 776 of the family's 1533-position model. The record is from RNAcentral.